GGAAGUUAAUAAACUGUUUCUUAACUUUUAACUAAAAAAAUUAAGAACCGGUUCUUAAAUAAGGAUUUUAAGAACCGAUUCUUAGCAUUUUUAGUUAAAAAUUAAUAAUCAGUUUCUUAAUUUCC
RNAcentral lists this microRNA precursor (125 nucleotides) under Brassica oleracea var. oleracea. RNAcentral's name for it is "MIR9563 microRNA precursor family". It matches the Rfam family "MIR9563 microRNA precursor family". The record is from Rfam by way of RNAcentral. Lineage: Eukaryota; Viridiplantae; Streptophyta; Magnoliopsida; Brassicales; Brassicaceae.